RNAcentral lists this non-coding RNA (253 nucleotides) under uncultured bacterium. Its description in RNAcentral is "partial 16S ribosomal RNA". It matches the Rfam family "Bacterial small subunit ribosomal RNA", at positions 524 to 776 of the family's 1533-position model. The record is from RNAcentral. RNAcentral also lists the same sequence under 2 other names.
UACGUAGGUGGCAAGCGUUGUCCGGAUUUAUUGGGCGUAAAGCGAGCGCAGGCGGUCAAUUAAGUCUGAUGUGAAAGCCCCCGGCUCAACCGGGGAGGGUCAUUGGAAACUGGUUGACUUGAGUGCAGAAGAGGAGAGUGGAAUUCCAUGUGUAGCGGUGAAAUGCGUAGAUAUAUGGAGGAACACCAGUGGCGAAGGCGACUCUCUGGUCUGUAACUGACGCUGAGGCUCGAAAGCGUGGGUAGCAAACAGG